Molecule: long non-coding RNA, 490 nt
Organism: Cynoglossus semilaevis (tongue sole)
Lineage: Eukaryota; Metazoa; Chordata; Actinopteri; Pleuronectiformes; Cynoglossidae
Exons: 3
Source: RefSeq, a predicted model, not a curated record
ACGGAGCGCGUGAUGGUCUGCUUGGCCAUGUUGUAGUGGUUAAUGAGGGUAAAGAGACGCCCACGGCCCCCAGGUCCCUGAGGGGGGUAGUUGUCGUACAUGCCAGCAGGCAUGCAGCGCCCUUGCUGUUCAAAGGACAAAAGAUAUCUUCUAGGAACUGAGCAGAAAUACAAUGACAGAAAACUACAAUCAAACUCUAAUGCUGAAGGGAACAUCAAGGAAACACCUGUUAAGAUCCCCCAACAAAAGACAUCAGUGAAAAACCACCACCUCCACCAUCAUCAUCAUCACCAUCAUCGCCAUCACCAUCAUGUAUGAUGCCCGUAAAGCUAACACAGGUGCUGUGAUGCGCACUGUGGCCCACGGAGAAGCCCGUUACCAAACAAAAAGGCGCAGGAGGAAGACGCGCAGCAGCAGAGAUUUGACAUCAUAACACAAAAGCAUAUGUAUCAUCACGGUGAGAAAAGGUUUUACUGCAGUCCAGCUUUUC